This 288-nucleotide unclassified non-coding RNA is filed under the name Ascomycota sp. Its description in RNAcentral is "partial contains small subunit ribosomal RNA, internal transcribed spacer 1, and 5.8S ribosomal RNA". The stretch from base 1 to 47 matches the Rfam family "Eukaryotic small subunit ribosomal RNA", at positions 1785 to 1831 of the family's 1831-position model. The record is from RNAcentral. Lineage: Eukaryota; Fungi; Ascomycota.
AAAGUCGUAACAAGGUUUCCGUAGGUGAACCUGCGGAAGGAUCAUUAAAGAAGGUAACCUUUUUGGUGAACUCUUCAUAUCCCAUUGUCUACCUACUCUGUUGCUUCCAUGGUGCCAGCCAACUUUGGCUCUGGACAGGUGCUUAAACCCCAUCUGUUUGGAAGUGCCCAUGGGUGUCCCCAUUCCCCUCGGGGUUUGGAGGCAAAUCUAAAACUAUAUGUAAAGAAUUUGUCUGAAUAUAUUUUAUAAUAUAAUAUAAAACUUUCAACAACGGAUCUCUUGGCUCUU